AACGAACGCUGGCGGCAUGCCUAAUACAUGCAAGUCGAACGAUCACUUCGGUGGUAGUGGCGCACGGGUGCGUAACGCGUGGGAAUCUGCCCUUGGGUUCGGAAUAACAUCUGGAAACGGAUGCUAAUACCGGAUGAUGACGUAAGUCCAAAGAUUUAUCGCCCAGGGAUGAGCCCGCGUAGGAUUAGCUAGUUGGUGGGGUAAAGGCCUACCAAGGCGACGAUCCUUAGCUGGUCUGAGAGGAUGAUCAGCCACACUGGGACUGAGACACGGCCCAGACUCCUACGGGAGGCAGCAGUAGGGAAUAUUGGACAAUGGGGGCAACCCUGAUCCAGCAAUGCCGCGUGAGUGAUGAAGGCCUUAGGGUUGUAAAGCUCUUUUACCCGGGAUGAUAAUGACAGUACCGGGAGAUAAGCCCCGGCUAACUCCGUGCCAGCCGCCGCGGU
RNAcentral lists this ribosomal RNA (446 nucleotides) under uncultured Alphaproteobacteria bacterium. RNAcentral's name for it is "bacterial SSU rRNA". It matches the Rfam family "Bacterial small subunit ribosomal RNA", at positions 29 to 521 of the family's 1533-position model. The record is from RNAcentral. Lineage: Bacteria; Pseudomonadati; Pseudomonadota; Alphaproteobacteria.